RNAcentral lists this non-coding RNA (45 nucleotides) under Schistosoma mattheei. Lineage: Eukaryota; Metazoa; Platyhelminthes; Trematoda; Strigeidida; Schistosomatidae. The record is from RNAcentral.
AUCCAGCCGACAAGUCCCAAAUAGGAUGCAACGCGCGUCCUGGAU